Molecule: ribosomal RNA, 460 nt
Filed under: uncultured bacterium
Lineage: Bacteria
Description: partial 16S ribosomal RNA
Rfam family: Bacterial small subunit ribosomal RNA
Source: RNAcentral
CCUACGGGAGGCAGCAGUGAGGAAUAUUGGUCAAUGUGCGCAAGUCUGAACCAGCCAUGCCGCGUGCAGGAAGACGGCUCUAUGAGUUGUAAACUGCUUUUGUACGAGGGUAAAUCCCGAUACGUGUAUCUGGUUGAGAGUAUCGUACGAAUAAGGAUCGGCUAACUCCGUGCCAGCAGCCGCGGUAAUACGGAGGAUUCAAGCGUUAUCCGGAUUUAUUGGGUUUAAAGGGUGCGUAGGCGGUUCGAUAAGUUAGAGGUGAAAUCCCGGGGCUCAAAUCCGGCACUGCCUCUGAUACUGUCGGGCUAGAGUUUAGUUGCGGUAGGCGGAAUGUAUGGUGUAGCGGUGAAAUGCAUAGAGAUCAUACAGAACACCGAUUGCGAAGGCAGCUUACCAAACUACGACUGACGUUGAGGCACGAAAGCGUGGGGAGCAAACAGGAUUAGAUACCCCGGUAGUC